UUGUUCACAAACUGAUCGCGAGUGUUUCACGUGGAGGCGAAUUUUGCACGAAUCGAAGUUCGAGUAAUCGAAAAUGCAGUGCGUGAUUAGCUUCUUGACCAAUCGAAUAGUCCGAGUGAAAUUCUUACCCAAAACCAUCAAAGACUUCAGUCCUUUCUUGAAAACUCCAUACCGUGGCCGCUUCGAACCAGCGCCGGUCCGUACCGCAGCGAGACGUCGGAGCGAAUGAGCAGCUCCUCGAGUUCAGCUUUUUCCUCCAGAGGCCUCAACUACUCUGUUUCAAUAAUGCAACGCGAGAUCCAAGAGACAAUUGCAAAAGUUCGGUAGGACGAUGACGAUAAUGAAAAAGCAGUCAAACGGUGGAAACUUUGUUUUUAACUAGAUUAAAAAAAAAAAAGCGAAAAAGCUUUUGGUAGGAAGAUUGUCGAACUUUUACGUUCCAACUCUUAUAUUGUUUUAGUUCCGCAUGGUUUCAACCUGAGAAUAAUUUGAUGAUGUUGAAUGCACGUAUACAAUUCGACGAUUGGAUCUAAAGACGAUUCUUCCGAAAUCGAACGACAAACACAUUCGAGUUUGAGGUCAUACAGCGCGAAGUCAUUGGAGAUAAAAUUAAAUCCGUUAGUGUCACGAACGUCGUCCCGACACCAUUCCAAACGUUGUUUCAGAAGAUCCAACUGUGCACCGACGUGUAUGAGAAAGACGGUGAAAAAAAUAUCGUGAAAAGCUGUGCAGCCAGCCAAAUAGGAAAUAGUUAUUUUGUCAGUUACGAACAUGAGCCAAUACGACGGAGUACCAUUUGCAUUAAAAACCCACAGAGGACUGUAGCAUUGUUCAUUGGAUCGUAGUCAAGCAAAAAAGUGUA
Long non-coding RNA from Venturia canescens, 862 nucleotides. RefSeq lists it as uncharacterized. The transcript is spliced from 3 exons. The record is from RefSeq and is a predicted model, not a curated record. Lineage: Eukaryota; Metazoa; Arthropoda; Insecta; Hymenoptera; Ichneumonidae.